This 462-nucleotide ribosomal RNA is filed under the name uncultured bacterium. RNAcentral describes it as "partial 16S ribosomal RNA". It matches the Rfam family "Bacterial small subunit ribosomal RNA", at positions 29 to 507 of the family's 1533-position model. The record is from RNAcentral.
AGUGAACGCUGGCGGCGUGCCUAAUACAUGCAAGUCGAACGGAGAUUAAGUAGCUUGCUAUUUAAUCUUAGUGGCGCACGGGUGAGUAAUAUAUAGCUAACUUGCCCAUUACUAAGGGACAACAGUUGGAAACGACUGCUAAUACCUUAUACUCCGUAUCUAUAUAAGUAGAUACGGGAAAGUUUUUCGGUAAUGGAUAGGGCUAUAUCGUAUCAGCCAGUUGGUAAGGUAAUGGCUUACCAAGGCUAUGACGCGUAACUGGUCUGAGAGGAUGAUCAGUCACACUGGAACUGAGACACGGUCCAGACUCCUACGGGAGGCAGCAGUAGGGAAUAUUGCUCAAUGGGGGAAACCCUGAAGCAGCAACGCCGCGUGGAGGAUGACACUUUUCGGAGCGUAAACUCCUUUUCUUGGGAAAGAAUUAUGACGGUACCCAAGGAAUAAGCACCGGCUAACUCCGUG